CCAAAGUCGCGGGCUGCGGUAGGUCGUGCCACACGGGGGCGCCACGAUCGCAGUCGAACAUUUCCCGCCACGCGACCUCACACACAUUUUCUUUGAAAAUUCGUGUAAUUGCAAAGAAAAAAGUGAAUCUACGCGCUUUCGGUGAUUUCGGCGUGUGCGUUGUGAUUGAUGUUUUACAUAUCUGACUCUAUUUUUUUACACCAAUUUUCUGUACAAUUAGUAGAGUUACGAACGUGAUCGCACUAGUGAAACGAAAAUUUCGGCGUUUCAAGUAGUAAGGAUUGCGUGCGCCGCUUGCGGGACUGAACUUACAGAUAUAACGACACCGUUCAUGUCACAAGCAGGGGAUAAAAUCGAUAGAUCAAUACAACCGAUGAUAUUACUGACCGAAUCGGUUAUCGAAUAUUAUUUACUAGAUAUAAGAGUAAUGAGAAUCCGUCCAAACUAAGAUAUAUUCGAGUAUUUUAUAACAGUAUUUUAAGUAGAUAUCAAUGAGCGGGUUAAGUUCGCGAGAUAGUAUAUCAAGAAUCAUGGCGUUCAAUUUGAGGAGUCUCAGGAUACUGGCUGUGGUGGCGCUGGUGUUCGUCUCUCGGAAUAGUGCUGCUCCGGCCUUCGGAGAAACCGACAAGGCUAUGGUUAACGACGAUGCCUACUUUCAGAUGUACCUGGCGCAAUAUGGGUACCUGAGUCCUUCAGUACGGAACCCUUCCAGCGGUCACAUCAUGGACGAAUCAUCGUGGAAGCGAGCCAUUAUGGAGUUCCAGAGCUUCGCUGGACUUAAUACCACGGGCGAGUUGGACGAGGAGACGACCAAAGUGAUGUCACUGCCGAGGUGUGGUGUCAGAGAUAAGGUGGGCUUCGGGGAGACUCGUGCCAAGAGAUACGCGCUCCAAGGUUCAAGAUGGCGCGUGAAGAACCUGACGUACAAAAUCGCCAAGUACCCAUCAAGACUGAACCGCGCCGAGGUGGACGCUGAGCUCGCUAAGGCCUUCUCCGUAUGGUCCGACUACACGGACCUCACCUUCACGCAGAAAAGGACCGGACAAGUCCACAUUGAAAUUAGGUUUGAAAAGGGAGAGCAUGGAGAUGGUGAUCCGUUCGAUGGGCCCGGUGGUACUCUUGCGCAUGCAUAUUUCCCGGUAUACGGAGGUGAUGCUCACUUCGACGAUGCAGAGAUGUGGUCUAUCAAUUCGAGGAGGGGAACCAAUCUUUUCCAGGUAGCGGCGCAUGAGUUCGGGCACUCGCUAGGUCUGUCCCACAGCGACGUGAGGUCUGCACUGAUGGCUCCCUUCUACCGCGGCUACGACCCUGCCUUCCAACUUGACCAGGAUGAUGUCCAGGGCAUUCAGGCGCUAUACGGGCGGAAGACCCAAACGGACAUCGGUGGUGGAGGCGCCAGCGUACCAUCUGUGCCGCGCGCCACCACGCAGCAACCCUCGGCUGAAGACCCCGCGCUCUGUGCCGACCCCAACAUUGAUACCAUUUUCAAUUCCGCUGACGGUGCCACAUUUAUCUUCAAAGGCGAGCACUAUUGGAGGCUGACAGAGGACGGCGUUGCGGCCGGAUACCCCCGCCUCAUCUCCCGCGCCUGGCCUGGCCUCCCCGGCAACAUCGAUGCAGCUUUCACCUACAAGAACGGCAAGACCUACUUCUUCAAGGGGUCCAAGUACUGGAGGUACAAUGGACAGAAGAUGGACGGCGAGUAUCCUAAGGAAAUCAGUGAAGGCUUCACGGGCAUCCCAGACAACUUAGACGCCGCUUUGGUCUGGUCUGGCAACGGCAAGAUCUACUUCUACAAAGGCUCUAAGUUCUGGAGGUUCGACCCGGCGCAAAGGCCACCGGUCAAGGGCACAUACCCUAAACCUCUGUCGAACUGGGAAGGCAUUCCUGAUAACAUUGAUGCAGCUCUCCAAUAUACUAAUGGAUAUACAUACUUCUUUAAGGGAGGCUCCUACUGGCGGUUUAAUGAUAGAACUUUCAGUGUGGACACAGACAACCCAGCGUUCCCGCGUUCGACGGCGUACUGGUGGUUGGGCUGCACCAGUGCUCCGAAAGGCACCGUCGGAGGUAGUGCCAAGCUCACGCUCCCGCCGUUGUCAGACGACGACGUGGGCGACAUACAGUUCGACGCAGGUGUAAAAUCAUCCGCUCCCAGAUCAUUCUUCUGGUUCAGGAAAUAGCCUCGGUGGAGAGUUCCUGAACAUUGUACAUAAAGAAAUUGCAUAAAGAACAAAGACUCAAUUAGUAACAUAGGAGAAUAUAUGCGAAUACCAGUGAGAUUAUAGACAUAAGCGGUGAUUUUAGUACCGGCGAGCUUAUCACGCGCUGCCUAUGCCGCGGAGACGUCUGGCGAUUCAGGGAAUAGAAGUGGGGCGUCAAGUUCACAGUUGUCGCUAGCGGCCGCGCUGAUGGCGUUGGCUGUUGCGCUGCGGGCGCGCCGUUAGCGACGCCGCGACCCCGCGACCCCGCGACCCAUCGACCCCGCGACCCCGCGACCCCGCCCCGCGACCCGGCCAGCCCCCGACUGUGGCUGUGCGUGAGGUCACCGACUGUGAUCGUGCGUUGUGUGCCUGACUGCGUUCGGUAUAUUGUGUAUAGCGAACGCCAUGCUGUGAUGAAGAAUGUGUCUUUUUAUACUAUUGCGCGAACGAUAAUUUAAUGAGAAGUCAUAGUUUUUAUACUUAUUAUAAAUAGAUGAUGUAAGCACGAGUGUGAUAUUGAUGUAAGCGAAGAUUUUUGUAUUAAAAUAUUUAAACUGCCA
Molecule: RNA transcript, 2761 nt
Organism: Pectinophora gossypiella (pink bollworm)
Lineage: Eukaryota; Metazoa; Arthropoda; Insecta; Lepidoptera; Gelechiidae
Gene: Mmp1
Gene name: matrix metalloproteinase-14
Exons: 14
Source: RefSeq, a predicted model, not a curated record